AGAGUUCCUCUUCCUCUCUCUUCCUAAGCUCUCUACCCUUUUCUUUUCCCAGUAAAAAAAUCGAUUCAAUUCGUCAAUUCGAUUCAAAAUCGCCGCUGCAAAUCUCUGAAAACCUUCUUAACUCCUGUCUUCGAGUUUUAUUUAUCUCUGAUCUCAAAUGGGCAAGAAUGAUUUUCUCACCCCAAAAGCAAUCGCUAAUCGAAUCAAAGCCAAAGGUCUCCAGAAGCUC
Molecule: unclassified non-coding RNA, 229 nt
Filed under: Hevea brasiliensis (rubber tree)
Lineage: Eukaryota; Viridiplantae; Streptophyta; Magnoliopsida; Malpighiales; Euphorbiaceae
Source: RNAcentral